UCAUAGAAGCCGCGCAGCCAUUUUGUUAGCUAGCUUGAGGUUACAGAGGUUAGCUGCAGUUGUACAGCUGCAAAUAUUCACAGUGCUUUGACGAUUUGGAACUUCAAAAAAUCCACCGUAUAAGAAGACCCAUCAGUGCUGUUAUUCACUGUACAACUUUCGACCGAGCUUUUGUAGACGACAGGAGGACUCGUGUGUUUGUUGACAGUAAACACAGCGCGAAACUGUGUGGUCAUUCAUUUCUCGAGCUGCCUUGAGUUUGCUAGCUUUGUUAGCUAGCUGGCUAACUUGUUUACGCGUGCUGCCCGUGGCGAAGAACAGAGACAAAUAUCCAUGGCCUCAAGCUGUUAAAUAUAAGAGAGUUGUAAAAGUAAGUGUUAACGUUUGUCGAAGUUUGUCUGUUUGCGUCUGACUGUCGUUGCGUCAUCCCGUUAAAAGAAGUAAACUUCGGCGAGGGUUCAGCGAGUCAGUCAUCAUGUCCGAGCUUUACAUUCGAGUGGCUGAGGACGAAAGCGAAGAGCCCAUGGAGAUCCCCUCAGAGGACGAUGGUACUGUUUUAUUAUCAUCGGUAGCUGCACAGUUCCCAGGGGCGUGCGGGCUGCGGUACAGGAACCCAGAGUCCCAGUGCAUGAGGGGAGUCCGGCUCGUGGAGGGGGUCCUACAUGCACCAGAGAGCGACUGGGGAAGCCUGGUCUAUGUCGUCAAUUACCCCAAAGAUAACAAAAGAAAGAUGGAAGAAAUAGACGCUGCCUCAGCUGUGAAAGUGAAGAGGGGGUUUCAGAAGACCUCAGAUCUCAUUGUUCUCGGGCUGCCAUGGAAAACAUCAGAGCAGGAUCUGAAAGAUUAUUUCAGUACUUUUGGGGAAGUCAUCAUGGUGCAGGUCAAGAGAGAUGCAAAGACUGGCAACUCCAAAGGGUUUGGGUUUGUCCGGUUCACCGAAUAUGAGACACAAACCAAAGUGAUUUCUCAGAGACACAUGAUUGAUGGACGAUGGUGUGACUGCAAACUUCCCAAUUCAAAGGCGUGUCCAGAUGAGCCCAUGCGGAGCCGUAAAAUCUUUGUUGGUCGCUGCACAGAGGACAUGACGACUGAUGAACUGAGGCAGUACUUCAUGCAGUAUGGUGAAGUCACUGAUGUCUUCAUCCCCAAACCUUUCCGUGCAUUUGCAUUUGUCACAUUUGCCGAUGACCAGGUCGCCCAAGCCCUGUGUGGAGAGGACCUGAUCAUCAAGGGCAUCAGUGUGCACAUCUCCAACGCUGAGCCCAAACACAAUAAUAGUAGGCAAAUGAUGGAUCGUGGGCGGUUUGGGGCUGGUGGGUUCAGUGGGGGUUACGGCAGUAAUCGUGGAGGGCUAGGCAGCGGUAGCGGUGGGGUUAACUUUGGGGCUCUUGGUCUUAACCCUGCUAUGGUAGCUGCUGCCCAGGCAGCGCUACAGAGCAGUUGGGGAAUGAUGGGCAUGCUGGCCAACCAGCAGCAGGGUUUGACCACAGCAGCAGGCACAGCUACUACGACCCGAGACCAGACCUAUAGCUCUGCCAGCACCAGUUACAGCAGCCCCAGCUCAGCCAGCCUCGGCUGGGCCGCAGGCACUAACACGGCCUCCAGCGGUGGCUUCAGCUCCGGCUUUGGCAACUCUAUGGAGUCUAAGUCUUCUAGUUGGGGAAUGUAGUUAGCUUGAAGAUGAUCCUUUCUGUUGCUAUUAGGUUAAUCUGGUAAGUAUUCUUACAGGGGAACUGCUUAUAUCUUAUGUUCCUAUAAUUUAAAAAAAAAAAAAAACACUGCCUUUUAUUUUGUUUACGAGAAAAUUUAUACUUGUGUGGCUGAUAAUGUGGUCAACAAUUAAUGAGUGAAAAGUUUAGUUUGUGUUUUAGUGGAAAAUGCCACACUCCUGUCUGUUUUUGAGAAAAUGUUCCACAGAUGACUGUGCAUGCAAGAGAAAUAUUUAUGAACAUGCACGAGUAUCUCCAGAGCCCCCUCAGCCCCUUGUACAAUGGGCUUAAUAUGUUGAUAUGUGUUUAAGCAGUUGAUUGCAUCUUUUUGUUUGUUUUUGUUUGACGUCUUUUGAAAAGCCUUCAUGAAAAUCUCUUCUGCAGUUCAACAACUCUUUCCCAAUUUCCCGGGAGGAAGCGCCUCAUUGGCUGCAAUGUUCGCCAGAUCUCAGUAUCAAUUCCCCUCUUCCCAUGUGUAAAUGCUUUGUCAUCAAAGAACACAGCUUCACUCUGCAUAUACUGUGUUAGACGGGACCUCGGACAUGGAUUGCCAAGGUUUUCGACUGAAUCCCGGUUGGAGUCAUUUAUGGACAAACUGAAGACAUUGUCAGCACAAACGACAGUGGAAUUGCUGCACGCCUGCCUUAACCCUGAAAAGGUUCAUCAUCACCCUCACUUGCAAGAACACUUGGACCAUCCUGUCAUGAAAAUUAAAGUGGACCACACUCAUUGGGUAGAGGUACCUGUUUAUACCUGCAAAUGUCACCAACAGGGCCAAUGUCACACUUUCAAUUUAGUUUCAAACGCACAGACUGCCUUAAAUCUGAAACCUGCAUUAUGUCAGUCAAUACUUAAUUCUUUGUCCUCUGUUUCGUCAAACUUCUGGAAGUAUUAACUCUAAGGCCUCUUCAAUGUGAUCGAUAGCAUUUAAAAAGGCAGCUUUUGAUCUUGUGUUGUUUACUUUGAUUGUAAAAUGGUUUGAAUGUAUCAGCUAAUUGAUAUCCAAAGGGACUUGAAGAACAGAACGAACAUACCAGCAGGAAUUCACACUUUCUGUAUUGAACUAUCUUAGUAUUGGGGUGUAAAAUAAAAGUUUUGAGUUUUUUUUA
Molecule: RNA transcript, 2818 nt
Organism: Notolabrus celidotus (New Zealand spotty)
Lineage: Eukaryota; Metazoa; Chordata; Actinopteri; Labriformes; Labridae
Gene: tardbpl
Gene name: TAR DNA binding protein, like
Exons: 6
Source: RefSeq, a predicted model, not a curated record